Molecule: ribosomal RNA, 556 nt
Filed under: uncultured bacterium
Lineage: Bacteria
Description: partial 16S ribosomal RNA
Rfam family: Bacterial small subunit ribosomal RNA
Source: RNAcentral
UGGGGAAUAUUGCACAAUGGGCGAAAGCCUGAUGCAGCGACGCCGCGUGCGGGAUGAAGGCCUUCGGGUUGUAAACCGCUUUUGAUUGGGAGCAAGCGAGAGUGAGUGUACCUUUCGAAUAAGCACCGGCUAACUACGUGCCAGCAGCCGCGGUAAUACGUAGGGUGCAAGCGUUAUCCGGAAUUAUUGGGCGUAAAGAGCUCGUAGGCGGUUUGUCGCGUCUGGUGUGAAAGUCCAUCGCUUAACGGUGGAUCUGCGCCGGGUACGGGCAGGCUAGAGUGCGACAGGGGAGACUGGAAUUCCCGGUGUAACGGUGGAAUGUGUAGAUAUCGGGAAGAACACCAAUGGCGAAGGCAGGUCUCUGGGUCGUCACUGACGCUGAGGAGCGAAAGCGUGGGGAGCGAACAGGAUUAGAUACCCUGGUAGUCCACGCCGUAAACGGUGGAUGCUGGAUGUGGGGCCCAUUCCACGGGUUCCGUGUCGGAGCUAACGCGUUAAGCAUCCCGCCUGGGGAGUACGGCCGCAAGGCUAAAAACUCUAAAGUGAAUUGACGGGG